RNAcentral lists this ribosomal RNA (684 nucleotides) under uncultured Bacteroidales bacterium. RNAcentral's name for it is "bacterial SSU rRNA". It matches the Rfam family "Bacterial small subunit ribosomal RNA", at positions 72 to 750 of the family's 1533-position model. The record is from RNAcentral. Lineage: Bacteria; Pseudomonadati; Bacteroidota; Bacteroidia; Bacteroidales.
CGAUGUAGCAAUACAUUGGUGGCGACCGGCGCACGGGUGAGUAACGCGUAUGCAACCUACCUAUCAGAGGGGAAUAACCCGGCGAAAGUCGGACUAAUACCGCAUAAAACAGGGGUUCCACAUGGAAAUAUUUGUUAAAGAAUUAUCGCUGAUAGAUGGGCAUGCGUUCCAUUAGAUAGUUGGUGAGGUAACGGCUCACCAAGUCCACGAUGGAUAGGGGUUCUGAGAGGAAGGUCCCCCACACUGGUACUGAGACACGGACCAGACUCCUACGGGAGGCAGCAGUGAGGAAUAUUGGUCAAUGGGCGAGAGCCUGAACCAGCCAAGUCGCGUGAAGGAUGAAGGAUCUAUGGUUUGUAAACUUCUUUUAUAUGGGAAUAAAGUGAGGAACGUGUUCCUUUUUGUAUGUACCAUAUGAAUAAGCAUCGGCUAACUCCGUGCCAGCAGCCGCGGUAAUACGGAGGAUGCGAGCGUUAUCCGGAUUUAUUGGGUUUAAAGGGUGCGUAGGUGGUUAAUUAAGUCAGCGGUGAAAGUUUGUGGCUCAACCAUAAAAUUGCCGUUGAAACUGGUUGACUUGAGUAUAUUUGAGGUAGGCGGAAUGCGUGGUGUAGCGGUGAAAUGCAUAGAUAUCACGCAGAACUCCGAUUGCGAAGGCAGCUUACUAAACUUAUAACUGACACUGAA